GUGGCGAGGGCGGGUGUCCAGCGCCAAUCAGGCCCUUGAAGCCCCCUCCCCGCGGCCCAGACUCUGUAUCUCAGUCCUGCCGGCCACGGCCUGAGGCUAGAGUCCGAACCCCAGCGGGCCUGGUGCUUAUUGACAGGGUGGCCGCGGGUGACUCGGUGUCGGACUCAGCGUGGCCUCGGCUACGCCCCCACUUCCUGCAGAGGUGCAGGCUCCGCCUGCCGCGCGGGGCAGGAAAGGGGGUCGCACUGGGACCCUCCCCGGGCUGGGAAGGGGCAGGAAAGGGGAGGGGCGCGCGAAGAAUGUGCGGAAGCGCCUGUUUACCCAGGGGUGGGGCGGGGUCCCCAGCCCUGUCCUGACCUCCUCCCCCCAAGUGGGCCAGGAGCUCCCACGCCCACACCCCAAGAGGCCGUAGGAGGUCACGGGGCGGGGCGGGGUGCGUGCUUUGAGCCCAGCGGAGCUGCCUGGCAGGCCCGGCCUGUGCAGGUUGGGCUCCCCACACCGGCCCGCCCCGCGGAAGCUGCUCCCCUCCAGCCCCCACCCGCUCCGAGGCGCCCAGACGCCAGAGCCCUCCCGGUGCCCAGAGCCGGGGGAUUCCCAGGGUGGGGGGCAGUGCCGAGAAGUGCCCCGCCCCCUCCACUUUCCUGAGACUCCAACCGGGAAACUGAGUCACAGACAGCAGCCUUCACCCGUGACCUUAGCAGGAAGAGAUCCUCCGCAGACCCCCACACCGCUCCGGCGAAACACGCGCCCCAGGCCCCCAGAACGCGGCCCGCAGCCCCCUGGGACCAGCCCCGGAGCCUCCGCAGUCCCGGACCAGGUCCUACCUCUCUUCUUGGAGUUCAUGGUGCUAGAUCCUGAAGGACGCAAGAUGCGCUCCCCGCGUCGCUGCGUAAGGCUGCACGAGUCCUGUCUGGGACACCAGGUACCAUGCUGCGACCCAUGUGCCACGUGCUACUGCCGUUUCUUCAACGCCUUCU
Molecule: RNA transcript, 977 nt
Organism: Physeter macrocephalus (sperm whale)
Lineage: Eukaryota; Metazoa; Chordata; Mammalia; Artiodactyla; Physeteridae
Gene: AGRP
Gene name: agouti related neuropeptide
Exons: 2
Source: RefSeq, a predicted model, not a curated record